AUUUUAAGAGCCGCAGUACUUUAACUGGGCGAAGGUAGCAUAAUCAUUAGUCUUUUAAUUGAAGGCUUGUAUGAAUGGUCGGACAAAAGGAAUACUGUUUCUAUAAUAGAAAUUGAAUUUAACUUUUAAGUGAAAAGGCUUAAAUUUUCUAGAGGGACGAUAAGACCCUAUAAAACUUUAUAUAUAAGUGUUUUUUAUUUAAAUUAAGGAUAAAAAAUAAAAUACAACAUUAUAUUUUAUUGGGGCGAUAGAGGUAAAAGUUUUAGUAACUGUUUUAAAAAAUUACAGACAUUUUUGAAUUUUUUAUAAAUGAUCCUUUGUAAAGAUUAAAAGAUUAAGUUACUUUAGGGAUAACAGCGUAAUUUUUCUUGAGAGUUCUUAUCGAGAGAAGAGAUUGCGACCUCGAUGUUGAAUUAAAUUUUCUUUGUUAUGAAGGUGUAACAAAAGAGGGUCUGUUCGACCUUUAAAUAUUUA
RNAcentral lists this ribosomal RNA (474 nucleotides) under Megaesthesius yokoyai. Its description in RNAcentral is "partial 16S ribosomal RNA". It matches the Rfam family "Bacterial large subunit ribosomal RNA", at positions 1921 to 2598 of the family's 2925-position model. The record is from RNAcentral. Lineage: Eukaryota; Metazoa; Arthropoda; Malacostraca; Decapoda; Chasmocarcinidae.